AAAAAUGGUCACCACAAUACAUAUCACAUUAGUAAUUCACCAUAAAGGAAGACUUCAAAGGGGAUCAGAUAGAAAGUUGUCAUAUGUAGACGAUGAAACUACUAAAAUGCAAAGAGUAAAUGUUGAUACACUUAAUGGGUUUUUCAUCAAUGACCUACUUAAGGACAUAUGUUAUCCUUUGAUAUAUGACUUUUAUUGGCUAUAGUCUAGGACGGAUAUGGAUGAUGGAUUGAGAAUUUUGACGUUUGAUUUGGAUAUUGUAAGGAUGUAUAAAGCUAUUGUGAAGAAUGAGAACAGAGUUGAAUUAUAUACAGAACACCCAGUUAGUGAGCCAGUUGUUGUAGAAGAUGCUGAUAAAGAGGAUCAGGCCCAAGAAGUUGACAAGGCCCAAAAUAAACCUAGCCAAAGUUCAGUUAGCCUUGCUCCCAAUUCUGAAACCAACGACCAACCUGUUGAGAACUCUAUGAGAAACCCUCAUACGGCUAAUAUCGUUUUCCAACCUCCACAAACACCUUCCCAACCACAUGAACAUACUAAUCUAAACCCACCUCAGAAGCCAAAGUCUGUAGAAUCUACUACACCAAAACUAAUCCAGUAGCUUCCAACUCUACUGAAUUUCACAGUUUGGGUUCUGGUACUACAUUAUCCCAAGGUCCCAACCACAACUCACCUAGAUCCACUACGAAUCCGACCUCUGGGGAGGUUCCACCAGCUGAAUACCUAACUCAAUAUGUACCAAUUCUCCACAUUGAUCCUCUCUCACAGUUAGAAACCAUGGCACAACCCACACUACCGUCUGUGACUGUCAAUGCUCUGGAAGGCCAAAACAAUAGCAAUGAAGAAGAUGUGUCUGGAAGUAAGAAGGUUAGAAAAAAAAGAUCCACAAAAGACCUCCCCCAUUGGCCAAGCCUUUGUAUCGAAUGCUGAUCCAUCACGACCUCCAUCAAUUUUUAUUCCGGUUGAUAAGGAAGACUACCCAGAUGAGGAUGCGGGGAACCAUUCUUACGAGUCUGAGGACUUGCAAAGCCAUGCAAGUGAAUCUGAUGGUAAAGUUCCGGUGUUUUCCCAGGGCAAUGUAGAUGUCCCUGUUAGAUAGGUUCGCUUGGAGUUAAAAAUGGAGUUUGAGACACUUACACAGUUAAAAAAUGUGCAAAAGUUCAACAUAAAUCUAGAGAGAAAUAUUUUCUUUCAAAGGAUAUAUUUGGAGGGAUCCAAGGCCAUAUGUGAUGAUAAAAAUUGUCCAUGGAAAAUAUAUUGUGCUAAAAGAAGUUUUUCAGCAAGUUAUCAAGUGAAGACUUUCGUAAAUGAGCACACUUGCGAGAGAAAGAUGCACUGCAAACUGCUGAUGAAAAAUGGGUGGUAGAUGAAUUGGAGGAAAAGCUUUAGAAUCAUCCUGAGAUGACUGUUAAAAAGACAAAAACUUUUUUAAGAAAGAAUAUGAUGUCCUUGUCAAUGAGAGAAAGAUCUAUAGGUCAAUGGCUAAGGCAAGGGAGCAAAUUGAGGGUUCAAAGGCUGUCAAUAUGCAAGGCUGUGCAAUCAUGCCAAUGAGAUAUUGAGAACUAAUCCAUGAUCAACAGUUAAGAUACAUACAACUCCUAUGGCUGAUUUACAAAGUUUUAUUUUCAAGAGAAUUUAUCUUUGUUUGGACGCAUGUAAAAGGGGUUUUGUUUAGAGGGAUGCAGACCUUUUAUUAGGCUAGAUGGAACUUUUUUGAGAGGUUAUUAUGGGGGCAGUUUCUUACUAUGAUUGGCAAAGACGCCAAUAAUCGUAUUUUUUUCAUAGCUUAUGCAAUUGUGAAGUCCGAAAAUAAGGACAGAUGGCAGUGGUUUUUGGAGCUCCUGUAAGAUGAUCUUGGUGAUCAUAGAGUUAACGGAUUCAACUUAAUGUCAGAUAUGCAAAAGGGUCUUAUUCCAGCCGUGCAAGAUAUCAUGUCUAAUGCUCAUCAUAGAUAUUGUGCCAUGCAUAUAUGGGAGAAUUUUAGGAAGUAAUGGAAGGAUAAGAAAAUGAAAGCAGCAAUGUGGGCUUGUGCCAAAUCUACUACUCUUCAAGCAUUCACAGCGGCAAUGGAUAGACUUAAACGGCUAAAUCACAGGGUUGAGAGUAUUUGAAUAAGAUUAGCCCUCAACAAUGGUCCAAAUUUCACUUUAGUGAGUACCCUAAAGUGGACAACUUGACAAAUAACAAUUGCAAAACUUUCAAUGAAAAUAUAAAGAAGAUGAGGGAAAAGUCAAUUAUCACAAUACUGGAGGAGGUUAAGGGUUAUGUAAUGAGAAUUUUAGCAAGAAAUAAGAAGACGGUAGUGGGUUAUGUGGGUAGACUUACACCAGUUCAGCAGAGUAGACUGGAAAGAGAAAAGAGAUAAGAGAGAAAUAAAUUAUUGGAGGCCAUUUCCUUUCGGGGAUAACAAAAGAAACCUAUCUGAAGUUACUGAUGAAGGUCAGUGUUGAUUUGGGCAAGAAAACUUGUAGCUGCAGGAUAUGGCAGCUAACUCGCCUACCAUGUAAGCAUGUGUGUACUGCCAUUGCAUACCGAAAUCAGAGGCCUAAAGCGUAUGCACACAACUGGCUGACAAUGGGAGCAUAUAUCGCAGCGUAUUAAUGAACUGUUCAGCCUAUACCAAGCCAAAAAUAUUGGAAAACAGGAGGAUACACACCCAUACUGCCUCAAAUUUAUAGGAAACCAAUUGGAAGACCUACCAAAAAAUGAGAUACCAAUAGGGAUGGUCCUAGAAUAAACCCCGAUCCCCAUAGAACAAAGAAAAGAUAUGGUCCUAUCACUUACAAAUACUGUUUCAAGGUAUAAUGUAUUCAUAGUUGUUCCAUCAAGUCGUUGCAUUUAUAUAUGUAGAUGUGUUAGAAUUGGUAAUUUGUCAUUUUGUUUUUGUUCAUACUGGACAUAAUAGUAAGAAAUAUGAUAGAAAAAAGGAGGCAAUAGCAAGGGGAGAUGCAGCAACAUCUGGAGAAGGGCUGCAAGGCCAAGCUACAACAACAACAGAGCAUGGUGCAGUUGUUGAUGCUUUAGAUAAAUAGACUGUGAAGGAGCAAGAGAUGCAUUGAAAAAAGACAUUAGAGGAGGCAGACACUGAGGUAGCAGCAAAUGAGGUAAAUAUUUGAGUAAUUCAGUAACUAAGCAACCAAUAAGUAGUUUAAUUAUUUUAAAAUAUGGCAUCUUAAAUGUUGACAUUUUUUUAGCAGGUCACUGUGAAUAACUUGAAACUAGUGUCAAUUCCAAUUAUAUCUCCACCAACUAGGCCACUAACUUCAUCUGUUAUUAGGACUACCAACUAUA
Non-coding RNA from Arachis ipaensis, 3288 nucleotides. The record is from RefSeq and is a predicted model, not a curated record. Lineage: Eukaryota; Viridiplantae; Streptophyta; Magnoliopsida; Fabales; Fabaceae.